UACGUAGGGUGCAAGCGUUUGUCCGGAUUUAUUGGGCGUAAAGAGCUCGUAGGCGGCUUAGAAAGUCAGGUGUGAAACCUCCAGGCUCAACCUGGAGACGCCACUUGAUACUUCUAUGGCUUGAGUUCGGUAGGGGACCAUGGAAUUCCUGGUGUAGCGGUGAAAUGCGCAGAUAUCAGGAGGAACACCGAUGGCGAAGGCAGUGGUCUGGGCCGAUACUGACGCUGAGGAGCGAAAGCGUGGGGAGCGAACAGG
RNAcentral lists this ribosomal RNA (255 nucleotides) under uncultured bacterium. RNAcentral's name for it is "partial 16S ribosomal RNA". It matches the Rfam family "Bacterial small subunit ribosomal RNA", at positions 524 to 776 of the family's 1533-position model. The record is from RNAcentral.